CCUACGGGUGGCAGCAGUCGAGAAUCAUUCACAAUGGGGGAAACCCUGAUGGUGCGACGCCGCGUGGGGGAAUGAAGGUCUUCGGAUUGUAAACCCCUGUCAUGUGGGAGCAAAUUAAAAAGAUAGUACCACAAGAGGAAGAGACGGCUAACUCUGUGCCAGCAGCCGCGGUAAUACAGAGGUCUCAAGCGUUGUUCGGAAUCACUGGGCGUAAGGCGUGCGUAGGCUGUUUCGUAAGUCGUGUGUGAAAGGCGCGGGCUCAACCCGCGGACGGCACAUGAUACUGCGAGACUAGAGUAAUGGAGGGGGAGCAGGAAUUCUAGGUGUAGCAGUGAAAUGCGUAGAUAUCGAGAGGAACACUCGUGGCGAAGGCGGGUUCCUGGACAUUAACUGACGCUGAGGCACGAAGGCCAGGGGAGCGAAAGGGAUUAGAUACCCUGGUAGUC
Molecule: ribosomal RNA, 446 nt
Filed under: uncultured bacterium
Lineage: Bacteria
Description: partial 16S ribosomal RNA
Rfam family: Bacterial small subunit ribosomal RNA
Source: RNAcentral